Molecule: microRNA precursor, 126 nt
Filed under: Myotis brandtii (Brandt's bat)
Lineage: Eukaryota; Metazoa; Chordata; Mammalia; Chiroptera; Vespertilionidae
Description: mir-9193 microRNA precursor family
Rfam family: mir-9193 microRNA precursor family
Source: Rfam by way of RNAcentral
UAUGCAUCAGUGGGGUCUCUCGGCCUGGCCUGUGCCCUCUCGUAUUCCAGGACCCCUCAGAGGAUGUUGGAGAGCCAGUUUCGGCCCAAUCCCGCAGGCCAGGCCGAGGGACCCCACUGGUGCACG